GAUUCUGGCUCAGGAUGAACGCUAGCGGCAGGCUUAACACAUGCAAGUCGAGGGGCAACGCGAGUAGCAAUACUUGGCGGCGACCGGCGCAAGGGUGCGUAACGCGUGAGCAACAUGCCCGUAUCAGGGGGAUAAUCCAGGGAAACUUGGUCUAAUACCCCAUAGUAAUUUUGUAAGGCAUCUUAUAAGAUUUAAAGCUUUGGUGGAUACGGAUUGGCUCGCGUGACAUUAGCUGGAUGGUAAGGUAACGGCUUACCAUGGCUAUGAUGUCUAGGGGUUCUGAGAGGAAGGUCCCCCACACUGGAACUGAGACACGGUCCAGACUCCUACGGGAGGCAGCAGUGAGGAAUAUUGGACAAUGGAUGGAAAUCUGAUCCAGCCAUGCCGCGUGAAAGGAAGAAGGUCCUAUAGAUUGUAAACUUCUUUUGUAUGGGAGCAAUAAGGCCUACGAGUAGGUUGAUGAGAGUACCAUACGAAUAAGCACCGGCUAACUCCGUGCCAGCCGCGGC
This 509-nucleotide ribosomal RNA is filed under the name uncultured bacterium. Its description in RNAcentral is "bacterial SSU rRNA". It matches the Rfam family "Bacterial small subunit ribosomal RNA", at positions 15 to 518 of the family's 1533-position model. The record is from RNAcentral.